CAAACAUUCCGGCUGCAAAAAUACCGUACAUUGGCAUUGGCCCCUUAUGUUUAAAAAAUAUUUCUAAAACAACCCAGCAAAGAAGAAAUCUUUAAAAUAAGCCGCCAUUGUAGAAAAAUGAUUUAUCUUUCUGUUCAGAUUAUAUGUUCAGCCUUAAGAGUUCUAGUAAUAUUAAACAGAAAUUUAAAACCGAAAACGAAAUUACAUACAUAUGUACAUAUAUUUUAUACCGUACACAUUGCACUCCCUACUUAUUGAAUUUUUAUACAUUGGCCCGGUUUCUUUAAACCUUAUUUCCCAAAAAAGCAAAUUAAAGGGGGUCCAGAACCAAGUGAAUCUACAUCAACAGAUUCAUUUGAUUCAUUCAGAUUUCUCUUUUUCAUUUCAGGUUCUUCAAAAUCUGUUGGUGUUGAUGUGCAAAAUUACUAAUAUUGAUGGGUGACUGGCUGCCUGUGUUCCCGAUUUAAGGGCAAAAGGCGUACAGAGAAGCUGCCAAUAUUUAAUUGAUUUAUCUUUUUCAUUUCAGGUUCUUCAGAAACUGCUAAAGGCGUUCAUCAAAUACAUGACCCUGGUCCGGUCACAUAUACACAUAUACGGUCACAAACUGCCAGAUUUUAAUUGACUUUUUCUUUUUCAUUUCAGGUUUUUCUGGAUCGGCUGGUGUUUAUAUGCAAAUUACUAUAUUUGAUGAAAUAAAUGGCUGCCUGUGUUCCCGAUUCAAUGGCAAAAGGCGUUCAUCAAAUACAUGACACUGGUCUGACCACAUAUACAUGGUAAUUUGCAUUUAUUAGCAGAUAAACUGCCAUAUUUUAAUUGAUUUUUCGUUUUCUUUUCAGGUUUACUAAAUUUGAUGAAAUAAAUGGCUGCCUAUGUUCCCGAUUUCAAGGGCAAAAGGCGUUCAUCAAAUACAUGACACUGGUCCGGCCACAUAUACAAGGUAAUUUGCAAUUAUUUACAGAUAAACUGCGAUAUUUUAAUUGAUUUUUCUUUUUCUUUUCGGGUUUGGUGGUGUUGGUGUGCAAAAUUACCGAUUAUGAUGAGUAAGUGGCUGCCUGUGUUCCCAAUUUCAAAGGCAAAGGGCGUUCAUCAAUACACAUGACACUGGUCCGGCCACAUAUAUAAGGUAAUUCGCAUUUAUUUACAGAGAAGCUGCCAAUAUUAAUUGACUUUUCUUUUUCUUUUCAGGUUCUUCAAAAUCGGCUGAUGUUGAUGUGUAAAAUUACUAGUACUGAUGAGUAAAUGGUUGCCUGUGUUCCCGAUUUAAGGGCAAUUGGCGUUCAUCAAUAUACGUGACACUGGUCCGGCCACGUAUACAAGGUAAUUUGCAUUUAUUAGCAGAAAAGCUGCCAAUAUUUAAUUGACUUUUCUUCUUUAUUUCAGGUUCUUCAGUAGCGGCUGGUGUUGAUGUGCAAAAAUUACUAAUAUUGAUGGGUGAAUGGCUGCCUGUGUUCCCGAUUUCAAGGGCACAAGGCGUUCAUCAAUAUACAUCAAUAUACAUGACACUGGUCCGGCCACAUAUAUAAGGUAAUUCGCAAAUAUUAGCAGAUAAGCUGCCAUGUUUUAAUUGAUUUUUCUUUUUCAUUUCAGUUUUUCUGGAUCGGCUGGUGUUUAGAUGAAAAAUUACUAAUACUGAUGAAUGAAUGACUGCAUGUGUUCCCAAUUUAAGGGAGAAAGGCGUUCAUCAAUAUUAUUUAAUAUACAUGAUCCUGGUCUGGUCACGUAUUUGGCCAUGGUAAUUUGCAAUUAUUAGCAGAUAAACUGCCAUAUUUAAUUGACUUUUCUUUUUCAUUUCAGGUUCUUCAGUAGCGGCUGGUGUUGAUGUGCGCUAGAGUGAAGAAGCUUCAUUGGCUGCUGAACAGCAACAGCAAACUAUGCCUGAAUGCUAAGGUACUCCUGUAUAAACAAGUCAUCGCACCCAUAUGGCAAUAUACUCUGCCUGUUUGGGGUCCCCUUGCCUCUAGCCUUGAAUUUGGUCGCCUGCAAACUGAGCAGAACAAAACGUUACGGACUAUCACUAAUGCCCCAUGGUAUGUUCGUAACGAUACCAUCCACCGGGACCUGGGCCUUGAGACGGUGGAUGAGGUUUAUGCAAAAGUUUGUAAGAGAUAUGUUGACCGAAUGAGAACGCACAAUAACCAGCAAGCAGCAGCAGUCAUCAACGACCCAUAUGUCCCCAUGUCCCCAUGUCCCCAUAUAUGUAGGCUAACCAGACCUCGAUAUUCCGAUUACUUGAACACACACCUACGUAAGGAAAUUGAGAGGCAGGAAUGGAAUCGUAUGGAAGUUGUACCCUAUCAGCGGCCAUACACGGAAAUGGAAUAGCUUUGGAGAGACAGGGCAGACGCGUCAAAUAGGAGAGCAAUGCGAGCCAUGGGAUAUGAAGGGUAGAGGAGCCACAACCCCCCCCUCAGAAAGAGGUAUCAGCACCACACAAAGUUAUUACAGUACGGAUAUUUUAGCUAGGGCAAGGGAACGCGCAAGAUCGGGGGUGAAUGCAGUCACCCAAGAGCAGCAGCCAACAACAGCAAUAUUAAAUACAUUUAUUGCUGCUGACGAAAUUGCGCAGUUCGAUAUUGUAGACCUGACUGUGGGACGUUACGGAUGAGUCACACAAAUGAACAAGAAUAGCUUCCGUUGGUCAAUCUGAACCUCAGGACGACACUGAGGCUGCCCAGGAUCAGGACGCCAGCACCAGAAACGCCGGACUCUGGUACACGGAUGACCAUGGAGAUACCGGAAUAUGAUUCUGCAUUGAAUAUUGUAUGCAAGUGCCAUUUUUGAAACCGAGGCCCGAAACGCGUCUGAAAACGAUGCUGCUGAAAGAUAAACUGAUCGCAGAUAAGCCGCAGCAACUCGCCUGCAGCUAUUUUUCUUUUCUCCCUUCUACACACACACAACCGAAACCAGUAGAAGAGAGACGACACCAGCAACAACGCUCUAGAUAUUCUGAUUGAGAUAAAUCGAGCGCACACCCACUCACAUGCCUAUACACAUAAAUUUCUCGCUGCCUCGGACCAGAAGGCAGCGAAAAUGUUAAAACAGAAGGAAGACAGAAACUUGAAAACAUAGCUAUAACAAAAAAUAUAAUUAACACAUAUAUGUAAAUAUUUUUCACCUCUUCCGCUGCACUGACAGAAAUCACUUUUUCUUCUAUUACCUAUAUAUAUUUAUCUCUAGAGUUUUAAGUCACUUAUCUCUAAUGAAUUCCCUAUUGCCCUCCCCCGAUCAGUGGACUGCUGUUGGGGUCGAGGUAUUGUUUAAAUUUUAAAUGAAUGCGCAGACAGAGAUGUCGGAAGAGGAGAUUCCCGCUGCCGUAAAGUGACGUAUGCGCUGCCUAUUACUGAAAAACUGCAGUCAACAGGCAGACUCAUACAAUAUUUUUAAGUAAAACAGCAGCCCCAUGAAAUUGUAAUAUUAUGCUAAGUAUAGUAUAAAUACAAUAAAAUCCACCUUAUCGUAACGUAUAAUGGCUCUCCUGAACCUGCUGGUUCAGGUCCAGGAUGGAGUUGGUUUACGUUACGAUUAGACACUCUCGUAUUGCCACCGCAGCAUACGACAAACAAAAAA
RNAcentral lists this long non-coding RNA (3567 nucleotides) under Drosophila guanche. The record is from RNAcentral. Lineage: Eukaryota; Metazoa; Arthropoda; Insecta; Diptera; Drosophilidae.